This 496-nucleotide ribosomal RNA is filed under the name uncultured bacterium. RNAcentral describes it as "partial 16S ribosomal RNA". It matches the Rfam family "Bacterial small subunit ribosomal RNA", at positions 28 to 506 of the family's 1533-position model. The record is from RNAcentral.
GAUGAACGCUGGCGGCGUGCCUAAUACAUGCAAGUCGAGCGAACAGACGAGGAGCUUGCUCCUCUGACGUUAGCGGCGGACGGGUGAGUAACACGUGGAUAACCUACCUAUAAGACUGGGAUAACUUCGGGAAACCGGAGCUAAUACCGGAUAAUAUAUUGAACCGCAUGGUUCAAUAGUGAAAGACGGUUUUGCUGUCACUUAUAGAUGGAUCCGCGCCGCAUUAGCUAGUUGGUAAGGUAACAGCUUACCAAGGCAACGAUGCGUAGCCGACCUGAGAGGGUGAUCGGCCACACUGGAACUGAGACACGGUCCAGACUCCUACGGGAGGCAGCAGUAGGGAAUCUUCCGCAAUGGGCGAAAGCCUGACGGAGCAACGCCGCGUGAGUGAUGAAGGUCUGCGGAUCGUAAAACUCUGUUAUUAGGGAAGAACAAAUGUGUAAGUAACUAUGCACGUCUUGACGGUACCUAAGCAGAAAGCCACGGCUAACUACGU